This 468-nucleotide ribosomal RNA is filed under the name uncultured bacterium. RNAcentral's name for it is "partial 16S ribosomal RNA". It matches the Rfam family "Bacterial small subunit ribosomal RNA", at positions 28 to 507 of the family's 1533-position model. The record is from RNAcentral.
GACGAACGCUGGCGGCGUGCUUAACACAUGCAAGUCGAACGGAAAGGCCCUGCUCUUGUGGGGUGCUCGAGUGGCGAACGGGUGUGUAACACGUGAGUAACAUGCCCUUGACUUUGGGAGAACUUCAGGAAACUGGGGCUAAUACCGGAUAGGAGCUCUUGCUGCGUGUGGGGGGUUGGAAAGAUUCGGCGGUUGGGGAUGGACUCGCGGCUUAUCAGCUUGUUGGUGGGGUAGUGGCGUACAAAGGCUUUGACGGGUAGCCGGCCUGAGAGGGUGACCGGCCACAUUGGGCCUGAGAUACGGCCCAGACUCCUACGGGAGGCAGCAGUGGGGAAUAUUGCACAAUGGGCGGAAGCCUGAUGCAGCAACGCCGCGUGCGGGAUAACGGCCUUCGGGUUGUAAACCUCUUUCGCCUGUGACGAAGCCUGAGUGACGGUAACGGGUAAAGAAGCACCGGCUAACUACGUG